CCUGGUAGCUUAGUUGGUAAAGAAUCUGCCUGCAAUGCAGAAGACCCCGGUUCGAUUCCUGGGUCAGGA
RNAcentral lists this transfer RNA (69 nucleotides) under Bos taurus (domestic cattle). It matches the Rfam family "tRNA". Rfam says of the family: Transfer RNA (tRNA) molecules are approximately 80 nucleotides in length. Their secondary structure includes four short double-helical elements and three loops (D, anti-codon, and T loops). Lineage: Eukaryota; Metazoa; Chordata; Mammalia; Artiodactyla; Bovidae. The record is from Rfam by way of RNAcentral. RNAcentral also lists the same sequence under 4 other names.